GUGAAUACCUGAUGACCUCACUCCAACUUGAACUCUAAUAUGUUGUCAUAAAAAGGCUAUUUAC
This is a small nucleolar RNA of Chlorocebus sabaeus (green monkey), 64 nucleotides long. Its record names the gene SNORD81. It matches the Rfam family "Small nucleolar RNA SNORD81". From Rfam's summary of the family: U81 is a member of the C/D class of snoRNA which contain the C (UGAUGA) and D (CUGA) box motifs. NCBI's taxonomy places the organism in Eukaryota, Metazoa, Chordata, Mammalia, Primates, Cercopithecidae. The record is from Ensembl.